GCAGCUGGCCUCUCUUCUUAACCGCCGGUCAUAGACACAAGGAAUUUAUUAUUGUUUCUGCUCCAAACGUCCCGAAAUACAUUUAUUUAGAAGUUUUGAUGCCAGAAUUCUUCCAUAGAUGUUAAAAUUUAACAGAUUGAAGACAGUACCUAACUAGUAUGUGAAAAAUUACAACUCCAAAAAAUACCAAGAGGCCAUCUAUAUCCAGACAACCAUUUUCUCUUGACUUUAUGAGUAGUGGAACCUGACACCAAGCAGAAAGAAGACAAUUCAGAUGUGUAAAAAAAGGCCCAAACCAUGCUCCCCAAAGCAACGCCUGGGA
Fukomys damarensis (Damara mole-rat) is the source of this 322-nucleotide long non-coding RNA. RefSeq lists it as uncharacterized. Lineage: Eukaryota; Metazoa; Chordata; Mammalia; Rodentia; Bathyergidae. The transcript is spliced from 3 exons. The record is from RefSeq and is a predicted model, not a curated record.